Long non-coding RNA from Musa acuminata AAA Group (dessert banana), 681 nucleotides. RefSeq lists it as uncharacterized. Lineage: Eukaryota; Viridiplantae; Streptophyta; Magnoliopsida; Zingiberales; Musaceae. The record is from RefSeq and is a predicted model, not a curated record. The transcript is spliced from 3 exons.
UCCUCUUCUCGUUGUUUCAUUUGAGGUCGAGAUUCACCGAAAGUUCCUCUGGUUUGUGAUCAGGGAGAGGUGGUGUCGCGCGAAAGCUGAUCGCCGGUUCGGGAGGACGGAUAUGGUUUUCAAGCAAUGCUGAGUAUAGAUGGCUCAUUAGUCGCUUCAUAGUGAUUGGUCUUCCAUGAUCGUUACAAUGCAACAUCAGUAUUCACUAAUAAGAUCGUUGCAAUGCAAUUCAUUAGUCGCUGAGUGCCGCUGAACUCUUGAAGCCUGAUAGACGUGGUUGUUGUAGUUGCUGUGCGAAGGAUUGAAGAAGCCGAAGAGAUGAUUUCAGUUCUAUAUUUGGUGUUAGUUGGAACAGUAUAGUAAAGUGGUAAAUUAAUAUUAAAUUUGCGCCUGUGUUUUGUAUAUUGUAGACUCAGACUUUCUUGGACUCAUUAGAGAGGACGGUUUAAAUUUUAGCCAUGUAUGGAACAAAACUAUGAUAUAUUGGCUUAUUUUGAGCUAUGGACAGGGGAACUAGUUAUUUAUAUGACAAUGCAUGAUGGAAAACGAUAAAUCAGUAAGUUCUCAAUAUUGAUUAGAAGUUUGAACUUUAAGCAUUAGAAGGACUGGGUAAGAUGCUUUGUUGUGGCAUCAAAUUUUAAAUAAUGAGUUCAAUUUAUGUUCCAGAAGUUGGGUUUUCAG